Molecule: long non-coding RNA, 461 nt
Filed under: Nicotiana tabacum (common tobacco)
Lineage: Eukaryota; Viridiplantae; Streptophyta; Magnoliopsida; Solanales; Solanaceae
Description: long non-coding RNA (NTAB_LNC005328)
Source: RNAcentral
CUUGAUCCGCUGGGGACACGGCUUCCUUCUUUAAAUCUUCCAGUGGUUUCUUCAGUGGUAUGUUUCUUCAUCCGCAUCGUCAUACUGGGCAUGCUACAACGUUCCCAAACUGCUUCUUUUGAGACGCGUUCCUUUUUCCUUUUGAAUUGUGCGCUUGCCUCUGCAGUUGUCUGCUUCUUGGUGCUGGGAUUUCAUUGUUUCCCGUUUGGGGAUCUCUGUUGUACCCUUCCGUCUUCAGGUGGGGCUAUUGAUUCCAAACUCUAGAGCUAAAAGUAUUCCCGCAUUAUACUGGUGGGCGACCUAGAACUUAAAAGUAUUCCCGCAUUAUACUGGUAGGCGACCUAGAACUUAAAAGUAUUCCCGCAUUAUACUGGUGGGCGACCUAGAACUUAAAAGUAUUCCCGCAUUAUACUGGUGGGCGACCUAGAACUUAAAAGUAUUCCUGCAUUAUACUGGUGGGC